RNAcentral lists this transfer RNA (69 nucleotides) under Pseudorasbora parva (stone moroko). RNAcentral describes it as "tRNA-His". It matches the Rfam family "tRNA". From Rfam's summary of the family: Transfer RNA (tRNA) molecules are approximately 80 nucleotides in length. Their secondary structure includes four short double-helical elements and three loops (D, anti-codon, and T loops). Further hydrogen bonds mediate the characteristic L-shaped molecular structure. tRNAs have two regions of fundamental functional importance: the anti-codon, which is responsible for specific mRNA codon recognition, and the 3' end, to which the tRNAs corresponding amino acid is attached (by aminoacyl-tRNA synthetases). tRNAs cope with the degeneracy of the genetic code in two manners: having more than one tRNA (with a specific anti-codon) for a particular amino acid; and 'wobble' base-pairing, i.e. permitting non-standard base-pairing at the 3rd anti-codon position. Lineage: Eukaryota; Metazoa; Chordata; Actinopteri; Cypriniformes; Gobionidae. The record is from RNAcentral.
GUGAGUAUAGUUUAACAAAAAUAUUAGAUUGUGAUUCUAAAGACAGGGGUUAAAGUCCCCUUACUCACC